This 245-nucleotide ribosomal RNA is filed under the name uncultured bacterium. RNAcentral's name for it is "partial 16S ribosomal RNA". It matches the Rfam family "Bacterial small subunit ribosomal RNA", at positions 1247 to 1500 of the family's 1533-position model. The record is from RNAcentral.
AAGCCAGGCGGCGACGCCGAGCGGAACCCGAAAGCCGUUCUCAGUUCGGAUCGGAGUCUGCAACCCGACUCCGUGAAGCUGGAUUCGCUAGUAAUCGCGCAUCAGCCAUGGCGCGGUGAAUACGUUCCCGGGCCUUGUACACACCGCCCGUCAAGCCAUGGGAGCCGGGGGUGCUUGAAGUGCGUCGCCGCGAGGCGCGCCCUAGAGCAAAACCGGUGACUGGGGCUAAGUCGUAACAAGGUACC